CUUGGUUUAAUCUUUGGGCUUGAGUUGUUUUAAGGAUUUGGGCUUGGUUCAAUUUUAAGAUGUGGGCUUUUCUUUUAUUUAUUUAUGUGGGCCUCAUAAUUUUAAUUAAGUUUGGGCUUUUCUAUUUGGGCCUCACCUUUUAAUUGUUGUGGGCCAAAGACUUUUAAGUUCGGGCUUGAUUUUAAUUGCUUGGGCUUUCACAGUUAAAUUCGAAUUGGGCCAGUCUUUUAUUUAAUUGGCCCUUCUCAUUAAUUCUAUUGGGCUCGAUUUAAUUAAGGAGUUGGGCUGAUGCAUAUUUUAUGAUGGGC
RNAcentral lists this long non-coding RNA (308 nucleotides) under Salvia miltiorrhiza (redroot sage). RNAcentral's name for it is "long non-coding RNA (SMIL_LNC003420)". Lineage: Eukaryota; Viridiplantae; Streptophyta; Magnoliopsida; Lamiales; Lamiaceae. The record is from RNAcentral.